CUUUUCUCAUAGCAGCGAUAACGUCCUCCGCAACUUCUGGUGCCUGGAAAAUAAUUUAAAUAAUUGUUAUAAAUGUUAAAACAGUCGAUUUGGUGAAGCACGUCGCAGCGUCGUCGAGCGACUCGGAACGGCCCGAAGCGGCUCGAAGCGAUUGAGCUCAUAAGUUUUCAUGAAGUCAGUGUAGGAAGAUUUUAAGCAACGAUGACUCAUUAAAUCGUUGCUUGGGAGGCUUCACGCAAAAUAGUAAUGAAAGUUUUAAUUCCGUCGUCUGCGUCAAUAGCGCCAAAAACAUCGUCGAGCGGUAAAAUGUUGAUAUAGCAGUAAAUAUUGCUGUAUGCACUUUCAAUCAUGGCCUCACAAGCCUCAUGGAAGUCAUGCAAGUUUUGAGCCUGGCUAUAGGCCAAAAUUGUUAUAAUUUUUGCGUCGAGGCAAACGCGCGCCGCGUAAAAGCUGCAGAGCGUUCGAUAACGCACGCCGCUAAAGAGGCUCAGAAAUCCUUCAGAUCGACAAGGAAAAAGGAAAAUGAGGCUAAUGUUAACUUAAAAGGAUAGCUGUAUCGGCGCAGGCAUCGCAGAGUAAAAGUCAAAGUAUACGGCAUUUCUACUGCAAGCCACGAAGGUCAUCUGAAAAACAGCAAGCGUGGAAGGACUCCAGCGCCGCCAUUUUGUUUAAAAAAAUAGAUAAAAACUUUUUUUAUAUACUUUAAGACGUGUAGAAUAAAGGUCUUUGAACAGAUUUUUCAUUUAUUUCAUUAUUUCGCGAAAAAAAUUAAGAAAGUUACAUAUGAUUUUCAGGUCUCCAAAGUGGCCUAAUCACUUAAACAGGGUUGCCACAAAUUCAGACGAAAUUUUGUGAUUUUCCCCGAUUUUCAACAAUAGUUAUAUAUUUCUUAUAGUAUUUUCGUCCUGAUUUAGAAACCGUGAAAUAUAGAGAUUUGAGAGAAAAGUCACAAAAAUGGGAAGUCAACUUUAAUUUUAAACUCACUUAUUCACAAGUGAUACAAGAAACUUACAGAUAAGUUUAAAAACACAGACAAGUUUAAAAUUCCAGUGCUCUUAGUAAAGCAUUUUAAAUCUCUAUUGAAGUUCACAUUAGCUGACUUAACCUAAGAAUUAAAAUUUAAAAUCCUUAAAAAAAAUUCAAAUUGCAAAAAAAAACUGCAGGUUUACAUAAAAAUUGCCACAAGACUCUCAACGAAAUGUUGAUGAUAUCAAUGCCGCUAUUUCUUCAUCAAGAGCAUUUACAAGAGAAGUGCACGAAAUAUUAAUCAUAAAUGGGUAUGUAUUUAUAUAUUUAUAUAGAGUUUAGUUGUGCAAUAUCUCACUUGAACGGCGUCUCUAGAGGCGCUGUGCACAAUAGAAGUUAUAUAGCUAUUUGCGCCUUUUAAAAAACUGGUUGGAGAUAUUACACAGCUGAAGUCUACUCGCGGCAAAAUCUUUCCAACGAUAAUACAUACCCAUUUGCGAUUAACAUUUCAUGCACUUCUCUUGUUAGUUCACUAGUUUUCUCAGUCAGAAGUUUUGC
This is a long non-coding RNA of Linepithema humile (Argentine ant), 1524 nucleotides long. RefSeq lists it as uncharacterized. NCBI's taxonomy places the organism in Eukaryota, Metazoa, Arthropoda, Insecta, Hymenoptera, Formicidae. The record is from RefSeq and is a predicted model, not a curated record.